AGUGAACGCUGGCGGUAGGCCUAACACAUGCCAGUCGAACGGCAGCACAGUAAGAGCUUGCUCUUACGGGUGGCGAGUGGCGGACGGGUGAGGAAUACAUCGGAAUCUACUUUUUCGUGGGGGAUAACGUAGGGAAACUUACGCUAAUACCGCAUACGACCUACGGGUGAAAGCAGGGGAUCUUCGGACCUUGCGCGAUUGAAUGAGCCGAUGUCGGAUUAGCUAGUUGGCGGGGUGAAGGCCCACCAAGGCGACGAUCCGUAGCUGGUCUGAGAGGAUGAUCAGCCACACUGGAACUGAGACACGGUCCAGACUCCUAAGGGAGGCAGCAGUGGGGAAUAUUGGACAAUGGGCGCAAGCCUGAUCCAGCCAUACCGCGUGGGUGAAGAAGGCCUUCGGGUUGUAAAGCCCUUUUGUUGGGAAAGAAAAGCAGCAGGUUAAUACCCCGCUGUUCUGACGGUACCCAAAGAAUAAGCACCGGCUAACUUCGUG
RNAcentral lists this ribosomal RNA (492 nucleotides) under uncultured bacterium. Its description in RNAcentral is "partial 16S ribosomal RNA". It matches the Rfam family "Bacterial small subunit ribosomal RNA", at positions 29 to 507 of the family's 1533-position model. The record is from RNAcentral.